Molecule: long non-coding RNA, 4726 nt
Filed under: Homo sapiens (human)
Lineage: Eukaryota; Metazoa; Chordata; Mammalia; Primates; Hominidae
Description: HSALNT0302140
Source: RNAcentral
CUGUGACACAGCCUCAGGAGGUCCUGAGGGCAUGUGCCCUGUAUAAUAAUCAAGUUUCUGUUGAAUUUUUCUGGCUGCAAAUUUAGCCAUCACCAACCUCCAAGAAAGAUAUUUAUAAUUACUUCCUCAUGGCUCAUCUUACUAGUAUUUAUCUCUGUGGCACAAGUGAAAAGUUAUCACUUAGAAUAAUGCAUCUCUAGCCAGUUGGCCUGACUUUCAGGAAAUAACCUGUAAUGAAUAUGGAUCUAUAUCCCUGGGCAUAUUUAGAAAACAUAGAAAUGAGAAUGUGAAAGGGAUAAAAUACAUAAAGAAGGGCUGAUCAGAAAGCCCAAAUGCCAGUUGAGUGAAGUGGUUGAAUAGAAGGAACUUGCUUUUUUUUUUUUUUUGACACAGUUUCGCUCUUGUUGUCUAGGCUGGAGUGCAAUGGCACUAUCUCGGCUCCCUGCAACCUCUGCCUCCCAGGUUCAAGCAAUUCUCUUGCCUCAGCUUCCUGAGUAGCUGGGAUUACAGGCAUGCGUCACUGCACCCAGCUAAUUUUUGGUAUUUUUAGUAGAGACGGGGUUUCACCAUGUUGGCCAGGCUGGUCUCAAACUCCUGACCUCACGUGAUCACCCGCCACAGCCUCCCAAAAUGCUGGGAUUAUAGGCGUGAGCCACCACUCUUGGCGGAACUUACUUUUCAAAGAGGAAGCAGUUGCCUCCUAAUAAAGUGAGUGCCGUGGCUAGAGUGUAAAAUCCUGUGGAAUGAAACAGUCAUAGUUGGUGAAAGUUGUUCAGGCAAAUCAUAUAUCAUUCCUGAUAGUUGGUGAGCUGUUAUAAUUCUCAUUAAACUUUUUAAAUGGAGACUUUCCUCUAGAUUGAUCAACUUUCUCAUGGCUAUAUUGAAAUAUUUUUAUUAGAUUAUUUAGUCUUAGUUUAGACUUUCUGUGUUCACAGAGGUUUGGAAUCUAUUUAUAUCUAAGUUAAUGUAAGAUUAUUUUAAUCUUUUUCUUGUGAAAAGAAAUGUGAAUUGUAUUUUUUAUUAGAAUUUGUUCAGAUAGAUCAGUCUUUCCUUCUUAUUGGUAAGUGCUUCUAUCCCCCCAUCUGACUAUAGUUACUGAACAGAAUAUCUUUCUUUGUCUGCUCUCUCAGGCUGCCUGAGCGAGUGAUUGAGCAGAAGGUGGGAUCCCAGGUUUUCUUGAGCCUGCUUUAGUUUCAGUUAGAAAGAUAAUGUAAGUUAAAAAUGCCAGCAAAAUAGAUAAUGUAAAUGAGCAGAACAUACUCCUCCUUCUGAUAAAUGUUACUGGAAAAAUGAAGAACUAAGAGAAUGAAACAUAUUUGAGGCUUAGAAGAUGGGGUGAAGGGUUUCCUGUAAGAAUAAGAAUCUUGUAGCUGCAGUCAAUUUGGUGGCCAGUUUUCAAACACUGAAAAAUCUAUCAUCUGAGAAACUUUUCAGGAUUAUGUAUUAUUACAGUAUUUUGAUACAGCUGAAAAAAAUUAAGUUAUUAUUGCUCCUAUUAACAUUUAUUUAGGCUGGGUGUGGUGGCUUACACCUGUAAUCCCAACACUUUGGGAGGCUGAAGUAGGGGCAUUAGUUGAGCCCAGGAUUUUGAGACUAGCCUUGGGAAGUUGGCAAAAUCCUGUCUCUACAAAAAAAUAGAAAAAUUAGCCGAGCGAGGUGGCAUACUCCUAGCUGCUUGGGAGGCUGGGGUGGGAGGAUUGCUAGAGCUUAGCAAUUGAGCCUUGAUCGUAGCCACUGCAGUCUAGCCUGCGUGACAAAGUGAGAUGCUGUUUCAAAAAACAAAAAAAUCAAAAACAAAACACCACACACCCAGUUAUUUAGUAGUUUUAGGAUUCUGCACAUAUUUUUUCCUUUAAAUUUAGUGACUACCCUGAGAGUUAAGUGGGGAGCUUUAUUAUCAUCAUUCCUAUAUUGGCAACAAGGAGCCACUGAAAAUCAUCCUUUUUGGUGGCAGAACAAGGACUUAAUCCCAGUUCUUUCUGAUUGCAGGAAAAACAUGUAGGCUUUAGCAUUUUUUGUAGUGUAACAAGCACCUGCCAGGAAUUAAGAGACUUGGUUUCUUUUUUUUUUUUUUUGAGAUGGAGUCUCGCUCUGUCGCCCAGGCUGGAGUGCAGUGGUGAUGUCGGCUCACUGCAAGCUCUGCCUCCUGGGUUCACGCCAUUCUCCUGCCUCAGCCUCCCAAGUAGCUGGGACUACAGGCGCCCGCCACCACGCCCGGCUAAUCUUUUGUAUUUUUAGUAGAGACGGGGUUUCACCGUGUUAGCCAGAAUGGUCUCGAUCUCCUGACCUUGUGAUCCACCCGCCUCGGCCUCCCAAAGUGCUGGGAUUACAGGCGUGAGCCUCUGCGCCCGGACUGAGACUUGGUUUCUUACUCAAGUUAUGCUUGUGAUCUUGGAGAAAUUACUUUAUACUUUUGUUAGAAGAUUCAUUGACUUUCUUUACCCCACUUUUAAAAAUUGACACAAACUAUAUAUAUUCAAGGUGUACAAUAUAAUGAUUUUAUAUACAGGUACAUUGUGUCCUGAUUACCAUAGUCAAGUUAAUUAACAACCAUAAACCUUCAACACCCAUAGUUAACCAUUUGUGUGUAUGCCUGUGUGCAUGAGUGUGGUGAGGACACUUAGAAUCUGUUCUUUUACCAAUUUCAAGUCAACAAUACAGUAUUACUAAUAGUAGCCACCAUGCUGUACAUUAGAACCCUAGAACUUACUCAUCUUAUUAACAGAAAGUUCGUGCCCUUUGACCAAUAUCUCCCUCACCCUAGUCCCUGGCAACUGCUGUCCUACUUUCUGCUUCUGUGAGUUUUCGACUGUUUUUUAUUCUAAUGUAAGUGAGACAGUAUUGUCUUUCUGUGUCUAGCUUAUUUCACUUGAUUAGUUGACUUCUAAAGGCAUUUCAGCUUUCUUUAUGUAGAGAAGCACACCCAAACCCUGAUUGAAACCUUGGAGUUUGACAUACUGAUCUAAGCCAAGUGGUAAUAUUGAAAAUUCUUUUUUUCCAGAAUGUUAUAGUUCUGUUGUCUGCAAUCUUGCCCUAAGAAUUUAGACCACAAGAAUUUCUUCCAUGCCUAUGUAUAAUAUUUCAGUUCUUGGAACUUCCAUCUAUUCAAUAGGCAUAGACUCUUAUAGGUCAGAAAAUUAUUCAUUAAGUGCUUCGACACAUAUUGCCUUGCAUAGUCCAUGGAUGGUAGUUAGAAAGAUUUAGCAAAGGAAUAUGUGUAAAAGCGUCUGGAAGCACAGUUCCUGGCAUAUUUCCAUUUCUAGUGUGUAAGCCACCAAAUUAUGGCUCAGAAACAUGCGACAACUUGCUUAGAUUUACAUUGCUAUUAAGUACCAGAACUAAGGGGGAGAGCUGGGUCUUUAAAGUCCAAAGCCUUUUUUUUUUUGUCAUUUCACCAGAGUAUCUCACCAGCAACUUAGCCGUUUACUUUAACUAAAUAAUAAUUGUCCUGGAAACAAUUAUUACUGGUCAGAAAGGACACUGAGGACAUAAGAUUAACACAAAUCUAUUACUAGGAAUUCAGAAGCAACUUAGCUAUGUCAUCAUGUCAGGUGCUUAGUAAUCUUUUCAUAUAAAGAAGAGCACAGUGGGAUUUGCCAUCUUUUAUGGUAGUUAUCAAGGUUGUUAGUAGUGAUACCCAGUGAAUUAUUAGAGGAAUAGUUUAAAUUUCGCUUACAAGUAUUGUUAGGCUUCUGUGUGCAGUGUGGACCAACUCUACAUGCAUGUUCUCUUAAAUUUCAGUAAGCACAUGCUUUGUUUAGGGAUUUUAAAAAACAUUAUUAUUAUUAUUUGAGACCGAGUCUCGCUCUGUUGUCCAGGCUGGAGUGUAGUGGCGUGAUACUGGCUCACUGUAACCUUUGCCUCCUGGGUUCAAGCAAUACCCCUGCCUCAGCCUCCCCAGUAGCUGGGAUUAUAGGCGCCUGCCACCAUGCCUGGCUAAUUAAAAACAUUAUUUUUACAUCUUGAAAAAUACAUUUAAACCUCUUAGAUUUGAAGAUAUUAGGUUAUUUAUUUAUUCUUCCCAGCCAACUUUACUGAGGUAUGAAGGAUUAAUAAUUGUGUAGCUAAAUCUAUAUCUGUCUUUCUAUCAAUCGAUCAUCUAUCUAUAUGAUAAACAACAUGAUGUUUUGGAGACAGUGUCUCACUCUGUCAGCCUUGACCUCCCAGGCUUGAGAUUUUCCCACCUCAGCCUCAGUGGGACCACAGGCUCAUAUUACCAUGGCUGGCUAGUUCAAAUAAUUUUUUUUGGUAGAAACAGGGGUCUCCUUGUGUUGCCUAGGCUGGUCUCAAAUUCCUGGGUUCAAGCAAUCCUCCCACCUUGGCUUCCCAAAGUGCUGGGAUUACAAGCAUGAGCCAUCUCACCUGGCUACAUUUUGAUAUGUGUACACAUUGUGAAGUCAUUACCACAGUCAAGCUAACAUAUCCAUCACCUCAGCUAGUUAUGGAGGCUCUGUCACCCAGGCUGGAGUGCAGUGGGGUGAUCUCAGCUCACUGCAACUUCUGCCCUCUGGGUUCAAGCAGUUCUCCUUCUUCAGCCUCUCUAGUAGCUGGGAUUACAGGUGUGUGCCACCACACCCAGCAAAUUUUUAUAUUUUUAGUAGAGAUGGGAUUGUGCCAUGUUGGCCAGGCUGGUCUCAAACUCCUGACUUCAGGUGAUCCACCAGCCUUGGCCUCCCAAAGUGCUGGGAUUACAGGUGUGAGCCACCGUGCUGGGCUUUUAUUUAUU